ACGGUAUGUAGUACGCAAGGUGACCUGCGGAAGGACAUUACAGAGUGUGAGGCUCAGUCGUGGCAUCUGCUGCGUGCUGGGCCGACCCUCCCACCCGUGUCGAUUUGUAUCUUGUUGCUUUGGCGGGCCGGGCCGCGUCGUCGCUGCUCCGCAAGGACAUGCGUCGGCCGCCCACCGGUUUCGGCUGGAGCGCGCCCGCCAAAGACCCAACCAAAACUCAUGUUGUUUUUGUCGUCUUAGCUUUAUUAUUGAAAUUGAUAAAACUUUCAACAACGGAUCUCUUGGCUCUGGCAUCGAUGAAGAACGCAGCGAAAUGCGAUAAGUAAUGUGAAUUGCAGAAUUUAGUGAAUCAUCGAAUCUUUGAACGCACAUUGCGCCCCUUGGUAUUCCGAGGGGCAUGCCUGUUCGAGCGUCAUAACACCCCCUCCAGCUGCCUUUGUGUGGCUGCGGUGUUGGGGCUCGUCGCGAUGCGGCGGCCCUUAAAGACAGUGGCGGUCCCGGCGUGGGCUCUACGCGUAGUAACUUGCUUCUCGCGACAGAGUGACGACGGUGGCUUGCCAGAACAACCCACUUGCUCCAGUCACAUGGAUCACAGGUUGACCUCGAAUCAGGUAGGAAUACCCGCUGAACUUAAGCAUAUCAAUAAGCGGAGGAAAAGAAACCAACCGGGAUUACCUCAGUAACGGCGAGUGAAGCGGUAACAGCUCAAAUUUGAAAUCUGGCUCUUCCGGAGUCCGAGUUGUAAUUUGUAGAAGAUGCUUUGGGUGGUGGGUUCGGCCUAAGUUCCUUGGAACAGGACGUCAUAGAGGGUGAGAAUCCCGUAUGUGGCCGAGGCCCGCGCCUAUGUAAAGCUCUUUCAACGAGUCGAGUUGUUUGGGAAUGCAGCUCAAAAUGGGUGGUAAAUUUCAUCUAAAGCUAAAUAUGGGCCAGAGACCGAUAGCGCACAAGUAGAGUGAUCGAAAGAUGAAAAGCACUUUGGAAAGAGAGUUAAACAGUACGU
RNAcentral lists this ribosomal RNA (1000 nucleotides) under Erysiphe alphitoides. RNAcentral describes it as "eukaryotic LSU rRNA". The stretch from base 598 to 1000 matches the Rfam family "Eukaryotic large subunit ribosomal RNA", at positions 1 to 400 of the family's 3401-position model. The record is from RNAcentral. Lineage: Eukaryota; Fungi; Ascomycota; Leotiomycetes; Helotiales; Erysiphaceae.